CGCCAGUGACAGCAGGUGUGAGCGCAUGCGUUUUUUGUGUAAGCUCAAUUGUUUGUUUUUGCGUAGUGUACAUGUUAUUUUUGACCGGUAGAAACAACGUCACAACUCAAAGGACUCUAAAAGGGCUACAGGGAGGUUGGCUAAAAAGACAAAGCACAUACUGCCUACGAAGAAGAAUAACAACGAAGAUGACUGUGUCUACCUCUACUGUGAGGAUAUCAACAGUCCUACUUUAAAUCUAAGGAAAACUGGGUCGGAUGUCAAAGGUGCAGGCGUUGGGCUCACACUGCAGGUGCUGGUGUUGACGAUAAAAGCACAGAAGAAGUGUUGUUUGUCUUUUUAGUGCCCCACAUAGUAUACUUACCCCAUCUUACCCCGUACAUGGGGCAAGAUGGUUUAUUUCCCAUUUUUUACAUUUCUUAAAAUAAGUCAAUUGUAAUGAUUACUUUUUUGG
Plutella xylostella (diamondback moth) is the source of this 454-nucleotide non-coding RNA. Lineage: Eukaryota; Metazoa; Arthropoda; Insecta; Lepidoptera; Plutellidae. The record is from RefSeq and is a predicted model, not a curated record.